AUGGCUGCGGCGGCGGGGAGCGGCGGCGUGGUGAAGCACCUCGUCAUCGUGCAGUUCAAGGAGGACGUGACCCCGGAGCGGCUGGACGGGCUCAUCCGCGGCUACGCCGGCCUCGUCGACAAGGUCCCCUCCAUGAAGGCCUUCCACUGGGGAACCGAUGUGAGCAUAGAGAACAUGCAUCAGGGGUUCACGCACGUCUUCGAGUCCACCUUCGAAAGCACGGAGGGAGUCAAGGAGUACGUUUACCACCCAGCACACGUCGAGUUUGCAACUGAUUUCUUGGGUUCAACGGAGAAAGUCCUCAUAAUCGACUUCAAGCCGGCAGCGGUCAACUAA
Molecule: ribosomal RNA, 336 nt
Filed under: Triticum aestivum (bread wheat)
Lineage: Eukaryota; Viridiplantae; Streptophyta; Magnoliopsida; Poales; Poaceae
Description: partial small subunit ribosomal RNA
Source: RNAcentral